This 460-nucleotide ribosomal RNA is filed under the name uncultured bacterium. RNAcentral's name for it is "partial 16S ribosomal RNA". It matches the Rfam family "Bacterial small subunit ribosomal RNA", at positions 338 to 795 of the family's 1533-position model. The record is from RNAcentral.
CCUACGUGCGGCAGCAGUGAGGAAUAUUGGUCAAUGGGCGCGAGCCUGAACCAGCCAAGUAGCGUGAAGGAUGACUGCCCUACGGGUUGUAAACUUCUUUUAUAAAGGAAUAAAGUGAGGCACGUGUGCCUUUUUGUAUGUACUUUAUGAAUAAGGAUCGGCUAACUCCGUGCCAGCAGCCGCGGUAAUACGGAGGAUCCGAGCGUUAUCCGGAUUUAUUGGGUUUAAAGGGAGCGUAGAUGGGUUGUUAAGUCAGUUGUGAAAGUUUGCGGCUCAACCGUAAAAUUGCAAUUGAUACUGGCAGUCUUGAGUACAGUUGAGGUAGGCGGAAUUCGUGGUGUAGCGGUGAAAUGCGUAGAUAUCACGAAGAACUCCGAUUGCGAAGGCAGCUUACUAAACUGCCACUGACAUUGAUGCUCGAAAGUGUGGGUAUCAAACAGGAUUAGAUACCCUAGUAGUC